This is a non-coding RNA of Pelobates cultripes (western spadefoot toad), 271 nucleotides long. Lineage: Eukaryota; Metazoa; Chordata; Amphibia; Anura; Pelobatidae. The record is from the annotation of a GenBank genome assembly.
UUUCUCAAAAUAAGUGCUCCGGUGGGGGCUAGAAUACACAGAGAAUACAACUUAUGCUGACACGUAUACAGCAUUUUACAGAUAAAAAGUUCAUUACAUAUAAAGAGCAUCAGAUGUAGGCCUUAAUUUAAUUACGCUGAACAUUGGAAUCAAGAUAUAUUCCCUUACACUAGUGCUGCAUAAACAGAAACAAAAGUGAUUUGACUCCUAAUUGUCAGAGAAAUAAGCAGUGAUACUGCAGGGGCAGGAUCUAUACAAACUGCUUGAUUAC